UACAGAGGGUGCGAGCGUUAAUCGGAAUUACUGGGCGUAAAGCGUGCGCAGGCGGUUCUGCAAGUCAGAUGUGAAAGCCCCGGGCUCAACCUGGGAAUUGCAUUUGAAACUACAGGGCUAGAGUGUGUCAGAGGGGGGUAGAAUUCCACGUGUAGCAGUGAAAUGCGUAGAGAUGUGGAGGAAUACCGAUGGCGAAGGCAGCCCCCUGGGAUAACACUGACGCUCAUGCACGAAAGCGUGGGGAGCAAACAGG
This 253-nucleotide ribosomal RNA is filed under the name uncultured bacterium. RNAcentral describes it as "partial 16S ribosomal RNA". It matches the Rfam family "Bacterial small subunit ribosomal RNA", at positions 524 to 776 of the family's 1533-position model. The record is from RNAcentral.